Molecule: long non-coding RNA, 302 nt
Filed under: Anas platyrhynchos platyrhynchos (common mallard)
Lineage: Eukaryota; Metazoa; Chordata; Aves; Anseriformes; Anatidae
Description: lncRNA (ENSAPLG00000019334.1)
Source: RNAcentral
GUUAAUUUGGUUUAAUUAUGACAUCAAAGUGCAACUGUGGGGCUGAACAAAGACUGUCACAAUGGAGUAUGUUCCAGGCUUGUUGUGCAAAAGGACACGUCUAGGGAAAGGCUGCUGUGUAUGCUUCUUCAGAAUAGAAAGAGAGAUGUGAUGCAUCCAGGCCAAUAUCUAGAGCAGGUUUCAUUAUGGUACAACAGCCACAACCAACUCUGCUGAGUGGUGCUCUCCUUCCUCCACUGCCACCCUUUAUAAAGGAAGCUUUUACCUUCAAGUUCCUGUGUCUGCCCUGGCAAGCCAGUUGA